This is a non-coding RNA of Gossypium hirsutum (cotton), 145 nucleotides long. NCBI's taxonomy places the organism in Eukaryota, Viridiplantae, Streptophyta, Magnoliopsida, Malvales, Malvaceae. The record is from Rfam.
UGUUAAAAGUUUUAUUCAUUUGUACUGUUAAAAAUUGGUAUGAUUGACAGAAUAAUCAUAUAGUGACAUGUGAAAUGCCGCAUGUACCUCAUUCUAAAGUACAAUGAGCAAUUUUUAACAAUAGAAAUGGAUGAAAUUUUUAACA